Astatotilapia calliptera (eastern happy) is the source of this 1565-nucleotide long non-coding RNA. Lineage: Eukaryota; Metazoa; Chordata; Actinopteri; Cichliformes; Cichlidae. The record is from Ensembl.
UACCUCUUGUAUGGUCGACACCCCCGUCUUCCAGUAGACCUUCUCUUUGGUCUCAUGGCAGAAAACAACACUGAGACACCACAUGGGUAUGCAGAAAGAUGGAAAGGGAAGAUGACAGAAGCAUACCGCAUUGCAAAUGCAAACAGUCAACAGUCAAGUUCCAAAGGCAAAGCAAACUAUGACAAAAGAUGCAAAGGAGUAAUGCUACAGGCAGGAGACCGAGUACUGGUACGAAACCUGAGUGAAAGGGGGGGCCCUGGCAAACUGAGACCCUACUGGGAGCAAACGGUCUACAUUGUGAGGGAGCAAGUGGGCGACAACCCCGUCUACAAAGUGAGUCCAGAGGCGGGAGGCCGUCCUGUUCGCACCUUGCACAGGAACUUGUUGUUACAAGUGAAUGACUUGCCAGUGGACAUUAUCCAAAGUCAGGCUACAAGACCACACAAGAGAAACAAGAAGUCCACCGGAAGACCAAUGACACCAGAGCCAAACCCUGACACAACUGACUCGGAAGAGGGUGAGCCAUUGUACUGGCUUGGUGUACCCAGAUACCCUCGAGGGGGCCAUUCUCCAGUCACACCAGUUCCAAGUGGAGUGCAACGGAGCUCCGGUCCAAGUGAACUAGGACAAGUCUUAAGGGCUCGUGUCCAACCUAGAAAAAAAAGUGCCAUGGUUCCGGAAGAGGAUCUAAUUGUGUUAAGAGACCCAGACCUACCUCAACUAAGUGACGAUCAGGAGAUGCCUCAGGUUCAAGAAGAAGUUGACGUCACUGAGUCCAGUCCUGAUCCAGUAGAGCUUCCUGACCCAGAGCCAGAACCCAGGGUGGAGCCAGGGGAUGACAUCCAUCCAGAGCCACCAUCUCAUCUUAGGCAGUCCAGCAGGCAGAGACGUCCCACCACAUUCUUCACCUACCCAUCCUUGGGUCAACCAGCCUAUCAGGCUCAUCCUGCGGUGAACACCAUCAACGUCCAACCUUCGCCAUAUCCUUCCCUCUACUACCCUCUUCUCUACUCCCAACCCCCCUACCCCUUUCCCCUCACCCUUAGCCCUUACUUACCUGUUUCAUAUGUUGUUCCUUGCUAUUGAAUCGAACAGAAAUCUCAGGAAGAAGAAUGCCUGAAGUCUAAGGACACCUGGGCAAGAGGAAUAUUCCAGGGACUUCUGUAAAGAGACUUUGUUAGUUUAGAGGGUUUUUUUUAUAAUUCAAGUUAAGUGUCAGGAGCCACUUUUGCUGUUGGGGAGCGUGUGGUGAACACAAAUGUGCUACCACAUUUUGGGAAAUUUUAUUAUUUUUAAGAAAAACAUAUGUCAGCAAUUAAGACAAUUAUUAUUUUACAUUCAUUACGUGUAGUCCAUAACAAUUGAGGAGAGUAAAAGUGAGAAAUAAUAAGCGGAACUGUUGACACUGUAGUCGUUCGCCCGCGGUUGCCUAGAGCGGACCAACUUCCUGUCCUCUCAGAUGCAAUUCGGGAAAAGACACGAGUGCUCCUGUGAUUCUUUCUCUGAGACUCUACCUUUAUUUUUACAGAUUUGUAUUCUUUUUGUUAUUGUGGUCUUCACAUCUG